RNAcentral lists this ribosomal RNA (467 nucleotides) under Pseudomonas sp. oral taxon B99. RNAcentral's name for it is "bacterial SSU rRNA". It matches the Rfam family "Bacterial small subunit ribosomal RNA", at positions 30 to 490 of the family's 1533-position model. Lineage: Bacteria; Pseudomonadati; Pseudomonadota; Gammaproteobacteria; Pseudomonadales; Pseudomonadaceae. The record is from RNAcentral.
AUUGAACGCUGGCGGCAGGCCUAACACAUGCAAGUCGAGCGGUAGAGAGAAGCUUGCUUCUCUUGAGAGCGGCGGACGGGUGAGUAAUACCUAGGAAUCUGCCUGAUAGUGGGGGAUAACGUUCGGAAACGGACGCUAAUACCGCAUACGUCCUACGGGAGAAAGCAGGGGACCUUCGGGCCUUGCGCUAUCAGAUGAGCCUAGGUCGGAUUAGCUAGUUGGUGAGGUAAUGGCUCACCAAGGCUACGAUCCGUAACUGGUCUGAGAGGAUGAUCAGUCACACUGGAACUGAGACACGGUCCAGACUCCUACGGGAGGCAGCAGUGGGGAAUAUUGGACAAUGGGCGAAAGCCUGAUCCAGCCAUGCCGCGUGUGUGAAGAAGGUCUUCGGAUUGUAAAGCACUUUAAGUUGGGAGGAAGGGCAGUUACCUAAUACGUGACUGUCUUGACGUUACCGACAGAAUAAG